Molecule: ribosomal RNA, 480 nt
Filed under: uncultured bacterium
Lineage: Bacteria
Description: bacterial SSU rRNA
Rfam family: Bacterial small subunit ribosomal RNA
Source: RNAcentral
AUUGAACGCUGGCGGCAUGCCUUACACAUGCAAGUCGAACGGCAGCACGGGAGCAAUCCUGGUGGCGAGUGGCGAAACGGGUGAGUAAUAUAUCGGAACGUGCCCAGUCGUGGGGAUAACGUAGCGAAGCUACGCUAAUACCGCAUACGAUCUACGGAUGAAAGCGGGGGAUCGCAAGGCCUCGCACUAUUGGAGUGGCCGAUGUCAGAUUAGCUAGUUGGUGGGGUAAAGCCUACCAAGGCGACGAUCUGUAGCUGGUCUGAGAGGACGAUCAGCCACACUGGAACUGAGACACGGUCCAGACUCCUACGGGAGGCAGCAGUGGGGAAUUUUGGACAAUGGGCGCAAGCCUGAUCCAGCCAUGCCGCGUGAGUGACGAAGGCCUUCGGGUCGUAAACUCUGUCCUAAGGGACGAUAAUGACGGUACCUUAGGGGAAGCCCCGGCUAACUACGUGCCAGCAGCCGCGGUAAUAGUACUCU